CUGGAAUGAGAGACAAGUGAGGAUGAAGAGGACAACAGAAUAUCCAUCCUUUCUUCACCACUUCACAGAGUUUGAGUGAAACAACUUGUAUUAGGACUCACAGGAUUAUUUUAUAACAAGACUGAUUAUUUUAUACCAGAAGUAUGGUAU
Non-coding RNA from Paramisgurnus dabryanus, 150 nucleotides. The record is from RefSeq and is a predicted model, not a curated record. NCBI's taxonomy places the organism in Eukaryota, Metazoa, Chordata, Actinopteri, Cypriniformes, Cobitidae.